UACGUAGGGUGCGAGCGUUAAUCGGAAUUACUGGGCGUAAAGGGUGCGUAGGCGGCCGAGCAAGUCUGGUGUGAAAGCCCCGGGCUUAACUUGGGAAUUGCGCUCGAAACUACUUGGCUGGAGUGUGGCAGAGGAAGGUGGAAUUCCAGGUGUAGCGGUGAAAUGCGUAGAGAUCUGGAGGAACACCGAUGGCGAAGGCAGCCUUCUGGGCCAAAACUGACGCUCAUGCACGAAAGCGUGGGGAGCAAACAGG
Molecule: ribosomal RNA, 253 nt
Filed under: uncultured bacterium
Lineage: Bacteria
Description: partial 16S ribosomal RNA
Rfam family: Bacterial small subunit ribosomal RNA
Source: RNAcentral